This 388-nucleotide ribosomal RNA is filed under the name uncultured bacterium. RNAcentral describes it as "bacterial SSU rRNA". It matches the Rfam family "Bacterial small subunit ribosomal RNA", at positions 355 to 760 of the family's 1533-position model. The record is from RNAcentral.
UCGGGAAUUUUGGGCAAUGGGCGAAAGCCUGACCCAGCAACGCCGCGUGAAGGAUGAAGUAUUUCGGUAUGUAAACUUCGAAAGAAUAGGAAGAAUAAAUGACGGUACUAUUUAUAAGGUCCGGCUAACUACGUGCCAGCAGCCGCGGUAAUACGUAGGGACCAAGCGUUGUUCGGAUUUACUGGGCGUAAAGGGCGCGUAGGCGGCAAUUCAAGUCAUCUGUGAAAUCUCCGGGCUUAACUCGGAACGGUCAGAUGAUACUGCUUUGCUAGAGUGCAGAAGGGGCAAUCGGAAUUCUUGGUGUAGCGGUGAAAUGCGUAGAUAUCAAGAGGAACACCUGAGGUGAAGACGGGUUGCUGGGCUGACACUGACGCUGAGGUGCGAAAGC